Molecule: long non-coding RNA, 83 nt
Organism: Haliotis rubra (blacklip abalone)
Lineage: Eukaryota; Metazoa; Mollusca; Gastropoda; Lepetellida; Haliotidae
Exons: 2
Source: RefSeq, a predicted model, not a curated record
CAUCCCAUAAAUACUAUAGAUCUAUAUACAUAUAUUUAAAACGAAGUCAGAAGUGUAAAAUGAGACCGUCAAGUAAAUGUGUC